GGGUCAGAUGUGUAUAGGGGACAGGUGAGUCAUCGAAUCUUUGAACGCACAUUGCGCCCCUUGGUAUUCCGGGGGGCAUGCCUGUUCGAGCGUCAUUAUAACCCUCAAGCCUAGCUUGGUGUUGGAGCCUGCCUCUGGGCAGCUCUUAAAAUCAGUGGCGGUGCCGUCUGGCUCUAAGCGUAGUAAUUUUUCUCGCUACAGAGUCCCGGCGGUUGCUUGCCAACAACCCCAAAUUUUCUAUGGUUGACCUCGGAUCAGGUAGGGAUACCCGCUGAACUUAAGCAUAUCAAUAAGCGGAGG
This 300-nucleotide unclassified non-coding RNA is filed under the name uncultured Helotiales. RNAcentral describes it as "sequence contains 5.8S rRNA gene, ITS2". The stretch from base 1 to 95 matches the Rfam family "5.8S ribosomal RNA", at positions 58 to 154 of the family's 154-position model. Lineage: Eukaryota; Fungi; Ascomycota; Leotiomycetes; Helotiales. The record is from RNAcentral.